AGAUUUUUAAAAUCCUAAUCUAUGGCAAGUUUUGUAAUUUCCUAAUCUAUGGCGGAUUUUUGUUGUUUCCAAAUCUAUGGCAGAUUUUGUGCAAAUGUAGAACAAGGCAGUACACAUACGAUCACUAACUUGUGUUAAAUAAGUUGACCUGUACGACAACGGGAGCAUGUCUAAAUUAUUUGUGAAAUAAAAAUUCCAUAAUGGCCAAC
RNAcentral lists this long non-coding RNA (209 nucleotides) under Mytilus galloprovincialis (Mediterranean mussel). The record is from RNAcentral. Lineage: Eukaryota; Metazoa; Mollusca; Bivalvia; Mytilida; Mytilidae.